RNAcentral lists this ribosomal RNA (253 nucleotides) under uncultured bacterium. Its description in RNAcentral is "partial 16S ribosomal RNA". It matches the Rfam family "Bacterial small subunit ribosomal RNA", at positions 524 to 776 of the family's 1533-position model. The record is from RNAcentral.
UACAGAGGUGGCAAGCGUUGUUCGGAAUUACUGGGCGUAAAGGGCGCGUAGGCGGUCUUGUAAGUCUUGUGUGAAAUCCCUCGGCUCAACUGAGGAACUGCACGGGAUACUGCGAGACUUGAGUUCGGGAGAGGGAAGCGGAAUUCCGGGUGUAGCGGUGAAAUGCGCAGAUAUCAGGAGGAACACCGGUGGCGAAGGCGGGUCUCUGGGCCGAUACUGACGCUGAGGAGCGAAAGCCAGGGGAGCGAACGGG